RNAcentral lists this unclassified non-coding RNA (382 nucleotides) under uncultured bacterium. RNAcentral's name for it is "contains 16S-23S intergenic spacer region". The record is from RNAcentral.
UCCCACUCAUCGUGGGCAGUUUCUCCAGAGUGCUCCCUUGCGGGUAGCAACAGGAAAUGGGGGUUGCGCUCGUUGCGGGACUUAACCCAACAUCUCACGACACGAGCUGACGACAACCAUGCAGCACCUCGGCUGGUUCCUGACUUUACAGGUCGUUCCCGCUUUCACAGGACUUACUUCCAGUCGUUCGAGCCUAGGUAAGGUUUUUCGUGUUGCGUCGAAUUAAACCACAUACUCCACCGCUUGUGCGGGUCCCCGUCAAUUCCUUUGAGUUUUAGCCUUGCGGCCGUACUCCCCAGGCGGAGUGCUUAAUGCGUUAGCUUCGUUACUGAGAGUGUCAAACCCCCAACAACCAGUCGACAUCGUUUAGGGCGUGGACUAC